AUCAGGCUCGGGAGUGCAACUGUAAGGCCGGGGUCACUGUGUUACUAUGGUGACACAGCCACGGCAGCAUAUGUGUGUAUCCAGGAAUAAGGGUUUUAUGUGAAUUUUGAAUGUGUGUGUGGCUGCUCACUUUCUGGGCCUUGUGUCUCUCUACCAGCAGCAGCAGCAGUCUCCCAGCCACUGUUGAGAGAGAAUGUUGGGUAACAGAAGUCUGGAGUUCCCCUGGACUCACUCCAGACCUUCUUUCCCUCCUGCCUCUCUUCCCACAGUCCUCCCCUCCUUCUCCCCUCACUUCCACUUGCUUCCCCUUGUUCCUGCUGGCUCGUUCACUCAUGAGUGAUAUCGUGCGUGUGUGUGUCCAUGUGGACAUUUUUCCCAACAGCCUGUACUGUAGAACUCCUGGUUUAUUUUUUCUUCUCACAGUCGGUCAUCUCCUUUUCUAAUUUUGUUUUUUUUAGCACUUUACACACCAACCUUUAGCAGAACUCAAAUUUUGGACCAUUUUUUUUUUUUCAUUUAACCCUGAUAGACUCUGUUUCCCUAUAAAACCAUUAUGUAGAACUGAUCCCAGAUCAGCGUCUGCUGUCUCAGCAGCUCACCACAUCUGCUCUGACUCAUUUUUCUCUGGUUCCCCAUUCCGAAAAUGAGAAAUGAAGGCAGCUUUUAAAAACAAUUUGUGCCUAUUUGUGGCUCUAUCCUAGCCCAGUCAGACUAUCAUCAUCAGCGCAUAAUCGUCACCACCGUCAUCAUCAUCAUCAUCACCAUCAUCACCAUCAUCAUCAAAGCAACAAAUCGAUGAUGAAACACUACUGCUCAAUCUAGAGAGAGGAUUGUUCAGGUUUAGGUGGGCAGACACUUGCAAAAACUUACAGGAUUCAGAGAUUGAAAGGGAGUCAUCCAUGCCUUAUCUGAAAUUAUUAAAAAGACCAAGUCUAUUUAUAAUAUGAUCCAGAUUUAUUACUCUUAGCUGUUUGGGUUUUUUUCCCCUUAGUAGAAGCUUAAAUCCUUCAGCACAGAAAGAUACGAGAAACUGAUAAAGAAAAAAAACAGUAGGUGUGCAAACGUGAUACAUGUCAGCAAGGCAAGACAAACACUGACUUGGC
Astatotilapia calliptera (eastern happy) is the source of this 1103-nucleotide long non-coding RNA. NCBI's taxonomy places the organism in Eukaryota, Metazoa, Chordata, Actinopteri, Cichliformes, Cichlidae. The record is from Ensembl.